Long non-coding RNA from Dromaius novaehollandiae (emu), 2018 nucleotides. RefSeq lists it as uncharacterized. The transcript is spliced from 4 exons. NCBI's taxonomy places the organism in Eukaryota, Metazoa, Chordata, Aves, Casuariiformes, Dromaiidae. The record is from RefSeq and is a predicted model, not a curated record.
CUAGGGAAUAAACAGCUGUGAGCAAGUGAGAGAUUUAGCAGUGCUGGGACUGUGGAGCAGUUUGCAGAAGCUUCCAUGGGAUUAAUGAAGAUGAAGCUGACUGACUGUAUCCGCAGGUAUAUGAGCCCUGAGAGGGAAGGAGAACCUGCUCCACCAUGAAGAGAGGCAGGAUAGAGGGCUGAGGUGCAGGCCGGAACAUACUCAGCGGUGUAAGUGAUGAUUUAGAGCUCCUGCCUUCCGCUGAAGGUACGGUGUCUGUUACAGCCUGACUGCCGUGCUCUCACAAAGCAACUAUGGCUUCCCGAGGAACGCCUGGACAUUUGUCACAGCAACUAUCCCCACUUUGGAGAGGACAGCCUAGCCGGGUGCCACAGGACCUGGCAGACAGGGCCAUUGUGUGUGGUAGCCACGUGGGAUGGAGGAUGACCUACUGGUGUCGGCAGGAGAGGAGAAGCCUUCAUCUCUGUCACUGAGCUCUGCAGCCAAAGCUUCAAAAAAACCAAAAAAAAGCGGUCAUGGACACCCUCUCUCCUGGAGGAAGGCAGACGAGAAGCAGUUUCUGCUGCUCACGGAGAAGCAAGAAGAGGAGUCGUGAGGAGCGGCGAGUCAAGAGUGAGCCUGAAGAGAGGAUGAGGAAGAUGGAAGAGAAAGCUCACGGAGAAGCAAGAAGAGGAGUCGUGAGGAGCGGCGGGUCAAGAGUGAGCCUGAAGAGAGGAUGAGGAAGAGAGAAGAGGAGGGAGGAGAAAGGCACUCUGGGCAAAGGGACCGCCCUGGCAGCAGGGCUGUGGUCACGUAAGAGCAUGGCUGGCACCUUUGGUGCCCUUGCUCCCUUUGCGCUGGGCGACCUCCCUGUAAGCAGGGCUCGGGUCUUUGCUUUUGUUGGCCUUUUGCCAUGUUGCUCCUUGGCUGCCUGGAGAGAGGGACGAGCCUGUAAGGAGGCUGCGAGUCCCUUUCUCCGCCCCUGGGGGGACAGGGAGCUCACCGGAACCCAGGCCCGCCCUGUAAGCAGGGCCGGGCUCUUUGCCCCCCGCGGCUUUCCGCCUGCCGGCCCCUGGCCGGCGCCACCCCCGCGCUCGGGGUGUGGGCCAGCAUUGGCCCUUUGGCGCCCCGUGAAGCCCCUUGGCAUGUUGAGUGCUCCGGCCUCCAUGCAGCCUGGGGGCAGGCCUGAGCCUCUCCUCCCGCUCCUGGGUACGGACCGGGCCCCCGACGUUGGCUGGCUGCCCUGGGCUCCCUUUCUCUCCUGGAAAGCCGUGUUACAUGUCUCCUGUCUGCUGUGCUUGUCCCUUCCCUCUUGUCCUCUGUCCUGUUGGGAGUGAGUGAGCUAGCGAGUGAGCUUGUCCUCUAGGCCUCUGUAAAAAGCGCUGCAGCGUAUUAGCUUUGGCUUCCCAGGCCUGAAAGAAGGGCUCUGGGCAGUAGCAGAGGGGUCCCGUCUCGGGCCCAGAUUUGAGGAGGGGGGAGAGUUCCGGCUUGCCCCUUCCUCCCCCGGGCAGAGCGGAGCCACUUGGUAAUGGUGUGGGCGAGGGGACCUGCCCGUAGUCGGGGCCCAGGUCUGUGCCCGCGUGGCCGCCUGUCCUGCUGGCCACGUGGCCAGCGUGGCGGCCCUGUAGUCGGGGCGUGCGUCACAAGCCGUGGAGCCCUGUGCGCCCGGAGCAGCUUGGCCUCCCUGUAAGCAGGGCGGAGGGGCCUGCCCUCCCGCGGCCUGCUGCUUUAGCCAGCCACCAGGAAUGACCCCUCCCCGGCCCGCUAAGGGGGCAGGCGGAGGAAGUGCCCUGCCGCAGGGCGCUGUGCGGCCUCCGGGCCGCUUCUUCUGGGGGCCGCCUGCCCGCAGCCGGGCUCGAGGUGCCCCCUGGGCUCCUGCAGACGUGCUGUUGUGCUGCAGCCGGGCUGGCCAGCCCGUAGGCCGGGCCUAGGCCAGAGCCUCCUGCCCCGUGGGGCUCGGGGCUAGUGCCAGCGCUGGGGGCAGCGCCCUGUAAGCAGGGCCGCGCACGUCCCCUGCGCUGUGCGGGAGGUGCUGGGAG